RNAcentral lists this ribosomal RNA (429 nucleotides) under Chloroflexota bacterium. RNAcentral's name for it is "Chloroflexi bacterium partial 16S ribosomal RNA". It matches the Rfam family "Bacterial small subunit ribosomal RNA", at positions 355 to 776 of the family's 1533-position model. Lineage: Bacteria; Bacillati; Chloroflexota. The record is from RNAcentral.
UGGGGAAUAUUGCACAAUGGGCGCAAGCCUGAUGCAGCCAUGCCGCGUGUGUGAAGAAGGCCUUCGGGUUGUAAAGCACUUUCAGCGGGGAGGAAGGCGAUAAGGUUAAUAACCUUGUCGACUGACGUUACCCGCAGAAGAAGCACCGGCUAACUCCGUGCCAGCAGCCGCGGUAAUACGGAGGGUGCAAGCGUUAAUCGGAAUUACUGGGCGUAAAGCGCACGCAGGCGGUCUGUCAAGUCGGAUGUGAAAUCCCCGGGCUUAACCUGGGAACUGCAUUCGAAACUGGCAGGCUAGAGUCUUGUAGAGGGGGGUAGAAUUCCAGGUGUAGCGGUGAAAUGCGUAGAGAUCUGGAGGAAUACCGGUGGCGAAGGCGGCCCCCUGGACAAAGACUGACGCUCAGGUGCGAAAGCGUGGGGAGCAAACAGG